This 501-nucleotide ribosomal RNA is filed under the name uncultured bacterium. RNAcentral's name for it is "partial 16S ribosomal RNA". It matches the Rfam family "Bacterial small subunit ribosomal RNA", at positions 30 to 523 of the family's 1533-position model. The record is from RNAcentral.
AUUGAACGCUGGCGGCAGACUUAACACAUGCAAGUCGAGCGGGGGAAGGUAGCUUGCUACUGGACCUAGCGGCGGACGGGUGAGUAAUGCUUAGGAAUCUGCCUAUUAGUGGGGGACAACAUCUCGAAAGGGAUGCUAACACCGCAUACGUCCUACGGGAGAAAGCAGGGGAUCUUCGGACCUUGCGCUAAUAGAUGAGCCUAAGUCGGAUUAGCUAGUCGGUGGGGUAAAGGCCUACCAAGGCGACGAUCUGUAGCGGGUCUGAGAGGAUGAUCCGCCACACUGGGACUGAGACACGGCCCAGACUCCUACGGGAGGCAGCAGUGGGGAAUAUUGGACAAUGGGGGGAACCCUGAUCCAGCCACGCCGCGUGUGUGAAGAAGGCCUUAUGGUUGUAAAGCACUUUAAGCGAGGAGGAGGCUACUCUAGUUAAUACCUAGGGAUAGUGGACGUUACUCGCAGAAUAAGCACCAGCUAACUCUGUGCCAGCAGCCGCCGUAA